UACGUGAAACCGUUUAGGGGUAAACCUGAGAAACCCGAAAGGUCGAAGGGAGAAAUUCAUUCGCGUUUCGCCGUUGGCGGGAGACGGUCGUGUGACGGAGGACGUUCGCGUUUUCCGCACCUUCCGUCUGUCGAUCCGAUAGCGAACGCGUGCACUUUUCUCCUGGUAGGACGUCGCGAUCCGUUGGGUGUCGGUCUACGGCUCGCGGUGGAGCCCGGACGUACGGUUCGCCGUCACGUUCGGACCCGCGUGUCCCGGCUGACUCGCUCGACGGUAUACGAAAGGUUUAAGGCCGCUCUUAGAGCGUUCGGCUCGCUGCAAGCGCGUCAGAUGUGUCGGCGAUCGGACCUAGUGCCGGUUCUGACCUCUGGCGACUGUUGGCUGCGAAGUUCUCGAACAGACCUCUAGACCGAUCUGCGACGCUAUAGCUUUGGGUACUUUCAGGACCCGUCUUGAAACACGGACCAAGGAGUCUAGCAUGUGCGCGAGUCAUUGGGAAUCACUAAACCUAAAGGCGCAAUGAAAGUAAAGGUCCGCCUCGCGCGGACUCAGGGAAGACGGGCGGUUUACCCUUAAAAGUGGCCGCUCCGCAUUCCCGGGGCGUCUCAUUCUCAUCGCGAGAAGAGGCGCACCAAGAGCGUACACGCUGGGA
RNAcentral lists this ribosomal RNA (652 nucleotides) under Coleoptera sp. NZAC03010179. RNAcentral describes it as "eukaryotic LSU rRNA". It matches the Rfam family "Eukaryotic large subunit ribosomal RNA", at positions 396 to 814 of the family's 3401-position model. Lineage: Eukaryota; Metazoa; Arthropoda; Insecta; Coleoptera. The record is from RNAcentral.